GCCAUCGUAGCUUAAAUCACUAAAGCAUAACACUGAAAAUGUUAAAAUGGAUAAACAAAUCCCGAAUGGCA
RNAcentral lists this transfer RNA (71 nucleotides) under Osteolaemus cf. tetraspis. Its description in RNAcentral is "tRNA-Phe". It matches the Rfam family "tRNA". From Rfam's summary of the family: Transfer RNA (tRNA) molecules are approximately 80 nucleotides in length. Their secondary structure includes four short double-helical elements and three loops (D, anti-codon, and T loops). Further hydrogen bonds mediate the characteristic L-shaped molecular structure. tRNAs have two regions of fundamental functional importance: the anti-codon, which is responsible for specific mRNA codon recognition, and the 3' end, to which the tRNAs corresponding amino acid is attached (by aminoacyl-tRNA synthetases). tRNAs cope with the degeneracy of the genetic code in two manners: having more than one tRNA (with a specific anti-codon) for a particular amino acid; and 'wobble' base-pairing, i.e. permitting non-standard base-pairing at the 3rd anti-codon position. The record is from RNAcentral. Lineage: Eukaryota; Metazoa; Chordata; Crocodylia; Crocodylidae.